UUGGGUAGGGGAGCGUUCUGUAAGCCUGUGAAGGUGGCCUGUGAGGGUUGCUGGAGGUAUCAGAAGUGCGAAUGCUGACAUAAGUAACGAUAAAGCGGGUGAAAAGCCCGCUCGCCGGAAGACCAAGGGUUCCUGUCCAACGUUAAUCGGGGCAGGGUGAGUCGACCCCUAAGGCGAGGCCGAAAGGCGUAGUCGAUGGGAAACAGGUUAAUAUUCCUGUACUUGGUGUUACUGCGAAGGGGGGACGGAGAAGGCUAUGUUGGCCGGGCGACGGUUGUCCCGGUUUAAGCGUGUAGGCUGGUUUUCCAGGCAAAUCCGGAAAACCAAGGCUGAGGCGUGAUGACGAGGCACUACGGUGCUGAAGCGACAAAUGCCCUGCUUCCAGGAAAAGCCUCUAAGCAUCAGGUAACAUCAAAUCGUACCCCAAACCGACACAGGUGGUCAGGUAGAGAAUACCAAGGCGCUUGAGAGAACUCGGGUGAAGGAACUAGGCAAAAUGGUGCCGUAACUUCGGGAGAAGGCACGCUGAUAUGUAGGUGAAGCGACUUGCUCGUGGAGCUGAAAUCAGUCGAAGAUACCAGCUGGCUGCAACUGUUUAUUAAAAACACAGCACUGUGCAAACACGAAAGUGGACGUAUACGGUGUGACGCCUGCCCGGUGCCGGAAGGUUAAUUGAUGGGGUUAGCGGUAACGCGAAGCUCUUGAUCGAAGCCCCGGUAAACGGCGGCCGUAACUAUAACGGUCCUAAGGUAGCGAAAUUCCUUGUCGGGUAAGUUCCGACCUGCACGAAUGGCGUAAUGAUGGCCAGGCUGUCUCCACCCGAGACUCAGUGAAAUUGAACUCGCUGUGAAGAUGCAGUGUACCCGCGGCAAGACGGAAAGACCCCGUGAACCUUUACUAUAGCUUGACACUGAACAUUGAGCCUUGAUGUGUAGGAUAGGUGGGAGGCUUUGAAGUGUGGACGCCAGUCUGCAUGGAGCCGACCUUGAAAUACCACCCUUUAAUGUUUGAUGUUCUAACGUGGGCCCCUAAUCGGGGUUGCGGACAGUGUCUGGUGGGUAGUUUGACUGGGGCGGUCUCCUCCUAAAGAGUAACGGAGGAGCACGAAGGUUGGCUAAUCCUGGUCGGACAUCAGGAGGUUAGUGCAAUGGCAUAAGCCAGCUUGACUGCGAGCGUGACGGCGCGAGCAGGUGCGAAAGCAGGUCAUAGUGAUCCGGUGGUUCUGAAUGGAAGGGCCAUCGCUCAACGGAUAAAAGGUACUCCGGGGAUAACAGGCUGAUACCGCCCAAGAGUUCAUAUCGACGGCGGUGUUUGGCACCUCGAUGUCGGCUCAUCACAUCCUGGGGCUGAAGUAGGUCCCAAGGGUAUGGCUGUUCGCCAUUUAAAGUGGUACGCGAGCUGGGUUUAGAACGUCGUGAGACAGUUCGGUCCCUAUCUGCCGUGGGCGCUGGAGAACUGAGGGGGGCUGCUCCUAGUACGAGAGGACCGGAGUGGACGCAUCACUGGUGUUCGGGUUGUCAUGCCAAUGGCACUGCCCGGUAGCUAAAUGCGGAAGAGAUAAGUGCUGAAAGCAUCUAAGCACGAAACUUGCCCCGAGAUGAGUUCUCCCUGAGACUUAGAGUCUCCUGAAGGAACGUUGAAGACGACGACGUUGAUAGGCCGGGUGUGUAAGCGCAGCGAUGCGUUGAGCUAACCGGUACUAAUGAACCGUGAGGCUUAACCUUACAACGCCGAAG
This 1736-nucleotide ribosomal RNA is filed under the name Escherichia coli. RNAcentral's name for it is "partial 23S ribosomal RNA". It matches the Rfam family "Bacterial large subunit ribosomal RNA", at positions 1224 to 2925 of the family's 2925-position model. Lineage: Bacteria; Pseudomonadati; Pseudomonadota; Gammaproteobacteria; Enterobacterales; Enterobacteriaceae. The record is from RNAcentral.